Molecule: unclassified non-coding RNA, 630 nt
Filed under: Hevea brasiliensis (rubber tree)
Lineage: Eukaryota; Viridiplantae; Streptophyta; Magnoliopsida; Malpighiales; Euphorbiaceae
Source: RNAcentral
ACGGGAAAAAGUUUCUCUGAAUCCUGUAAAAUCAAGAAUCUGCAAGCUACCCACUGGAGGAGAUGAUGCUCCUCUGAUCGGAUACAUCAAACUAUCAACAUUCAACCAGAACGCUUCUGGUGCUGUAAGAGAGGCGAUUGAAACCUUAAGGAAAAACAAUGUCAAGGCAUUUGUCUUGGACCUUCGGGAUAACAGUGGUGGUCUCUUCCCUGAAGGAGUUGAGAUAGCAAAAAUUUGGUUGGAUAAAGGUGUGAUUGUAUACAUUUGUGAUAGCCGUGGUGUUCGAGAUAUUUAUGACACGGAUGGGAGCAAUGUGGUAGCUGCUUCAGAGCCCCUAGCUGUGCUGGUAAACAAAGGGACUGCAAGUGCAAGUGAGAUUUUAGCCGGUGCUUUGAAAGAUAACAAGCGUGCACAGCUGUUUGGUGAACCAACAUAUGGCAAGGGUAAAAUCCAGUCUGUAUUCCAGCUAUCUGAUGGCUCUGGCGUGGCUGUUACAGUUGCUCGGUAUGAAACUCCUGCUCACAACGAUAUAGACAAGGUUGGUGUCACCCCGGACCAUCCUUUGCCAGCAUCAUUUCCAAAAGACGACGAGAGCUUCUGUAACUGCCUUCAAAAUCCUGCUGCUGCUUG